RNAcentral lists this ribosomal RNA (492 nucleotides) under uncultured bacterium. Its description in RNAcentral is "partial 16S ribosomal RNA". It matches the Rfam family "Bacterial small subunit ribosomal RNA", at positions 29 to 507 of the family's 1533-position model. The record is from RNAcentral.
AGUGAACGCUGGCGGUAGACCUAACACAUGCAAGUCGAACGGCAGCACAGUAAGAGCUUGCUCUUACGGGUGGCGAGUGGCGGACGGGUGAGGAAUACAUCGGAAUCUACUUUUUCGUGGGGGAUAACGUAGGGAAACUUACGCUAAUACCGCAUACGACCUACGGGUGAAAGCAGGGGAUCUUCGGACCUUGCGCGAUUGAAUGAGCCGAUGUCGGAUUAGCUAGUUGGCGGGGUAAAGGCCCACCAAGGCGACGAUCCGUAGCUGGUCUGAGAGGAUGAUCAGCCACACUGGAACUGAGACACGGUCCAGACUCCUACGGGAGGCAGCAGUGGGGAAUAUUGGACAAUGGGCGCAAGCCUGAUCCAGCCAUACCGCGUGGGUGAAGGAGGCCUUCGGGUUGUAAAGCCCUUUUGUUGGGAAAGAAAAGCAGCAGGUUAAUACCCCGCUGUUCUGACGGUACCCAAAGAAUAAGCACCGGCUAACUUCGUG